This is a long non-coding RNA of Anolis carolinensis (green anole), 1839 nucleotides long. RefSeq lists it as uncharacterized. The record is from RefSeq and is a predicted model, not a curated record. The transcript has 2 exons. NCBI's taxonomy places the organism in Eukaryota, Metazoa, Chordata, Lepidosauria, Squamata, Anolidae.
AAAAAGGCGCGAGGAAGGUGGCGCAUGCGCAGUCGCCGUAUAACUAAUGGUUCAACUGAAGGGAUUCAUUUGAGAGAAUUUUCCUCACAAACCCAUAACAAAUCCAUAAAACGAGAUAACCUACAGCUGCAUGAAGUCUUCGAUACUUGCAAACCGAUACUUUCUAUGAACCAACACAAUCUGGAUCUUGGCAAAAUUCUUAAGAUUUGAAAAGAUGUUUAGGAUCCAGGUAUGGAAUUCAGGACUUGGGAAAAUGUGACAACAAAGGCAAUCAUAGAAGAAAAUGUAAGGAUUAAAAAAAAAUACUGUUCCAAGACAUACCAGAGUCAAAGGAUUCGGGAGAAGGCUCUCCGUGAGCAUAGUUUACAGUAGAUCGAAAGGACCGGGAAAGACAAGGAGGCAUUGCAUUGAAGUUGGCUAAUGUUUCCACUUAUGGUGGGCCUUCCAGAUAGGGAAGGACCCCUCUUUCCACCCCCACCCCCAAAACCCCAGAGAUUCAGCACCAAUGAUUUGGGAAGACUUGGGGCGUUGUUUGGUUGCAUGCGCAUACUCUCACUACCCCUGGUAGCAGAGCAGCUCUUCCCAGCGGAUGGGCUGCGAGAAGACCUCCCUCUCCAGCCAGAGUUCGUAGGAGUAGCGGAAGUCCUCGGGGAGGUCCAGUGGCUGGCCCAGGACACUCUGCAGGCAGUUGUCCACCGGGGAGAACUCCGGGUCUCGCGGCCGGUCGUAGCGCCGGGCGUUGAAGGCCUCGAUGUUGGCGCGCAAGGUGCACUCCUCCGCCUGGAAGUCCCACGGCCGGGCAUCGAUGUCUGCAAAACAAGGCAAAGGAGAACAAGGGUUGCAGCCUGGUCAGAUUCUGAGUGUUCAGAUGAGGAGGAAAGGGAUGCACCUGUGGCUUAUGGCAUUUUCAGAGGUUGUGAGCUUGAUUAGAAAUUGAAUAGUGUCUCCAAAAUUUAGCUCUCAUUCAUUCAUUCCUUCCAUUCAUACCCACACAUGUAAAAUCCAUAUCUGCACAUCAUAAUUCCAUGACAAUUCUACUCCAAGGCUUUCUUUUCAGUUGUUGGAAGCUUUGGUGCACUAACACUUUUGUUUUUAAAUAAUAAUAAUAAUUAAAAAAAACUUUAUUUAUACCCCGCCACCAUCUUCCCGUGGGGACUCGGGGCGGCUUACAUGGGGCAAAGGCCCCAACAACAUUGACGAAAUAAACAAUAAUAUAAAUACAAUUCAUGGUAUAAAAGAUCAAAACAGUAAUACAAUGUAAAACAAGAAUAAAACAGUUGAUACUAUCAGUCAACCACUACGUGCAGUUCUAUUAUCUACUUAGGUGGAGAAACUGGAGAAGCAAUGCAAGAAUAGAAUAAUAAGUUCAUAGACAGUAAGGACCUAAUAAAAUACAAGAUAGAAUAAUACCAUCUGGGGCUAAUUAUCUAAUGACAAUCUAACCAAGAAGGGAUUUUAAGCAUGCAGCCACUUUUUUUUGGGGGGGGGGGGGGGGAAUUGCAAAGAGCGCACCUUUUGCUGCUGCACAUUACAUUCCGCAGCAAAUACUUUUUUUGGUAUCAGGGUUUUGAAAUGUCAGAGUAAUGGUUUAUAUAGUGUGUGAAAUGUUCACUCAAGUAAGUGUGUGGUGCUUCGGUAGGCAUUCCAGCACAGGAAUGGUUAAGAGCAUAGAAUUAGAUUUACGUAGCUGGACAUAAGUCACUGGGAAUGGAAUGUGGGAGGCGACAAGUUCUACUUAUAAGCUUCUUCACUGGUCACCAUCAAUUCUGCCAAACGUGUGUUAGCUGCGCUUAUGUACAUAGUUGUAAAUAACUUCAAUAAAACUCUGAACUACCGGGA